RNAcentral lists this ribosomal RNA (449 nucleotides) under Enterobacter hormaechei. Its description in RNAcentral is "partial 23S ribosomal RNA". It matches the Rfam family "Bacterial large subunit ribosomal RNA", at positions 2261 to 2709 of the family's 2925-position model. Lineage: Bacteria; Pseudomonadati; Pseudomonadota; Gammaproteobacteria; Enterobacterales; Enterobacteriaceae. The record is from RNAcentral. RNAcentral also lists the same sequence under 2 other names.
GUGGGUAGUUUGACUGGGGCGGUCUCCUCCCAAAGAGUAACGGAGGAGCACGAAGGUUGGCUAAUCCUGGUCGGACAUCAGGAGGUUAGUGCAAUGGCAUAAGCCAGCUUGACUGCGAGCGUGACGGCGCGAGCAGGUGCGAAAGCAGGUCAUAGUGAUCCGGUGGUUCUGAAUGGAAGGGCCAUCGCUCAACGGAUAAAAGGUACUCCGGGGAUAACAGGCUGAUACCGCCCAAGAGUUCAUAUCGACGGCGGUGUUUGGCACCUCGAUGUCGGCUCAUCACAUCCUGGGGCUGAAGUAGGUCCCAAGGGUAUGGCUGUUCGCCAUUUAAAGUGGUACGCGAGCUGGGUUUAGAACGUCGUGAGACAGUUCGGUCCCUAUCUGCCGUGGGCGCUGGAGAAUUGAGGGGGGCUGCUCCUAGUACGAGAGGACCGGAGUGGACGCAUCAC